This 468-nucleotide ribosomal RNA is filed under the name uncultured bacterium. RNAcentral describes it as "partial 16S ribosomal RNA". It matches the Rfam family "Bacterial small subunit ribosomal RNA", at positions 28 to 507 of the family's 1533-position model. The record is from RNAcentral.
GACGAACGCUGGCGGCGUGCUUAACACAUGCAAGUCGAACGGAAAGGCCCUGCUUUUGUGGGGUGCUCGAGUGGCGAACGGGUGAGUAACACGUGAGUAACCUGCCCUUGACUUUGGGAUAACUUCAGGAAACUGGGGCUAAUACUGGAUAGGAGCUCCUGCUGCAUGGUGGGGGUUGGAAAGUUUCGGCGGUUGGGGAUGGACUCGCGGCUUAUCAGCUUGUUGGUGGGGUAGUGGCUUACCAAGGCUUUGACGGGUAGCCGGCCUGAGAGGGUGACCGGCCACACUGGGACUGAGAUACGGCCCAGACUCCUACGGGAGGCAGCAGUGGGGAAUAUUGCACAAUGGGCGGAAGCCUGAUGCAGCAACGCCGCGUGCGGGAUGACGGCCUUCGGGUUGUAAACCGCUUUCGCCUGUGACGAAGCGUGAGUGACGGUAAUGGGUAAAGAAGCACCGGCUAACUACGUG